RNAcentral lists this small RNA (126 nucleotides) under Marmota monax (woodchuck). The record is from RNAcentral. Lineage: Eukaryota; Metazoa; Chordata; Mammalia; Rodentia; Sciuridae.
GCCAGGCACAGUGGCACAUGCCUGUAAUCCCAGCAAGCUUGGGAGGCUGAGACAGGAGGAUCACGGGUUCAAAGCCAGCCUCAGCAAAAGUGAGGUACUAAGCAACUCAGUGAUACGCUGUCUCUA